RNAcentral lists this ribosomal RNA (490 nucleotides) under uncultured bacterium. Its description in RNAcentral is "partial 16S ribosomal RNA". It matches the Rfam family "Bacterial small subunit ribosomal RNA", at positions 30 to 507 of the family's 1533-position model. The record is from RNAcentral.
AUUGAACGCUGGCGGCAUGCCUUACACAUGCAAGUCGAACGGCAGCAUGAUCUAGCUUGCUAGAUUGAUGGCGAGUGGCGAACGGGUGAGUAAUACAUCGGAACGUGCCCUGUAGUGGGGGAUAACUAGUCGAAAGAUUAGCUAAUACCGCAUACGACCUGAGGGUGAAAGUGGGGGACCGCAAGGCCUCAUGCUAUAGGAGCGGCCGAUGUCUGAUUAGCUAGUUGGUGAGGUAAAGGCUCACCAAGGCGACGAUCAGUAGCUGGUCUGAGAGGACGAUCAGCCACACUGGGACUGAGACACGGCCCAGACUCCUACGGGAGGCACCAGUGGGGAAUUUUGGACAAUGGGCGAAAGCCUGAUCCAGCAAUGCCGCGUGUGUGAAGAAGGCCUUCGGGUUGUAAAGCACUUUUGUCCGGAAAGAAAUGGCUCUGGUUAAUACCUGGGGUCGAUGACGGUACCGGAAGAAUAAGGACCGGCUAACUACGUG